RNAcentral lists this ribosomal RNA (155 nucleotides) under Cornus controversa. RNAcentral's name for it is "5.8S ribosomal RNA". It matches the Rfam family "5.8S ribosomal RNA". Rfam says of the family: 5.8S ribosomal RNA (5.8S rRNA) is a component of the large subunit of the eukaryotic ribosome. It is transcribed by RNA polymerase I as part of the 45S precursor that also contains 18S and 28S rRNA. Functionally, it is thought that 5.8S rRNA may be involved in ribosome translocation. Lineage: Eukaryota; Viridiplantae; Streptophyta; Magnoliopsida; Cornales; Cornaceae. The record is from RNAcentral.
GACUCUCGACAACGGAUAUCUCGGCUCUCGCAUCGAUGAAAAACGUANUGAAAUGCGAUACUUGGUGUGAAUUGCAGAAUCCCGUGAACCAUCGAGUCUUUGAACGCAAGUUGCGCCCGAAGCCGUCAGGCCGAGGGCACGUCUGCCUGGGCGUC